RNAcentral lists this long non-coding RNA (2218 nucleotides) under Gallus gallus (chicken). RNAcentral describes it as "long non-coding RNA NONGGAT000005". Lineage: Eukaryota; Metazoa; Chordata; Aves; Galliformes; Phasianidae. The record is from RNAcentral.
CUAAACUACUGAAAAGUCUGCAGAAAGAACGGUACAGCGAGAGAGAGAGGAGAGAGAGCAGAGCGCGGGGUGAGGCCAGGUCCCCAGACACAGAGCACACACACAACGCGCGGGGACGCGGCUCGGAGCGCUCCGGCCAAGACCUGCUGCAAGCCCUGCCAGGUCUGUUCCCAGCAGGCAGAAGAGGAGCGGGAAUCGUCUCCAGGAGCUCCGGAUCCCGGCUGCGCUGCCAUCGCUCUGCAGCACCCAAAGCCCUCCUGGGAGCAGCCCUGGCCCUGCAGCCCAAUGCAGAUUCACUGAGAAGUGCUGCACUGAGGACCUUGCACUGAGCCCCCUCCUGGGGUGGGGCUGGGACCACCUCCCCUCGCUAACGGCAGAGCACCAGACACAGAGCCAGAGCAACGCACAACCGCCUGAGCACAUCCGCCACGGGGCCAGAGCCCCUCUGUGGGACAGCAGGGACUUCCACCACCUUCCCAAGCACCAGCAUGAGGUUCCGGAUGUGGGGCAGCAGGGUCUGACCAUCACAGAAUGGGGCUGAGCUCCGCUGCGGGCUGUGUGUGGGGCAGGGAAGGGUCUGACCUGUCCACAUCUUGCUCUGCCCCCACGGGGCACACUCCGACACGCAGGGCUGUGUGUGGGCAGCGUGGAGCUGGGCCAGCCCCUUCUGCAGCAGCGCCGGGGAUGCGCGGUGUCCCUGGGCACCGGCCAACGUCUGCUCUGCACCAGACUGGAGGAUCCGCCAGGAGACAAAUGGUGCUGCAAGAUCACCUCCCUUCUGCCAUCACCUGCUUCUCACAAACCUUGCCUGGCGUCAACAAGGAUGCUCGGAAUGAGAAAAUAAAUGAACCAAAAAAGCAGCUUGGAGUGCUCUGAUCGGAGUGAACCCCUCAGCCCGCAGAGCCCAGGGGUGUGAUCCUGUGGGGCCAUCGGGGCCCGGGCGCUGAGCAGGGCCGUGGGACUCCGUGAGGUCCCUCUGUGCACCCCGCAUCCAGCUCAGCCACUUCUGCCCCCUCCUGCCUCCAGCUGCCCUGACUGCCACUCUUUGACCGCGCUGCGCUUUGCCAACAAGCACCCAAUGGAGAGCGUUGGCCCUGGCCAGUCGGCAACCCAACCUCCAGCCCAGGAGGGCAGGAAGGCGAUGGGGCACCACGGCACCCUGCAGCUCUGCCUUCCCCUGCUGGAACGAAUUGAUGGCAACAGAAAUGCAUGCAGGGCCCGAAGCCACCAACGCAGACUGCUGUGUAAGAACCACGUUCUGGGAGGCCCAUAGGUGCUAAGGGAAGAUGAGCUUCACGGGAAUAGGAAGGGCUCAGCCACACUGCCUCUUGUGCUCGUGUUCCUCCCACCUCGGCACAGAAAGCAGGAGAUACAAAGGAGCGUGACGGUGAGUCACACUUGGGAAGCGCCAUCAACAUGAAAGAGGAGCAACUGAAUGACCUUCAGGACUGCAGUAUGAGAAACAGAACAUAAAGGGACGGCGCGCAGCCCAGGGCCCGGCUCACGAGGCUGGCAAAGGAUCUCUGCUUUCAGCCGGAGCUCAUCCAUGGGGAUGAUGAAGGAGGAGAAAGUUCUGGGUCUGCUGGCACAGCCCGGAGGUGCGGGCACAGCAGGAGUGCUGCAAGACCUACGUGUGCACUCACAUCUCCACAGCAGAUACCGCUGGCAUCUCUGCUGGGAUUUGGAGGACAUUUCGGGUCCCUCACAUUCAAGAAAGGUAAAUGUGAAGAGGAGUGGCUGCAGGCAGUGGCAGCUGGCUGCCGAGAGCUUGCCCAGCCUGGAGAAGAUGGGAUGGAGAGGGGGACUGUUCCCAGAGGUUGGGAGAGACUGCAGUGGAAGGGCACGAGGAUGCCAUGCAGGAGUGCUGACUGGGCAGCGGGUGACACCCAGCUGGCAGACCCUGCUCAGGGAGCUGGCAGCCCAGCAGGCACUUUGGUGCCCAAUGAGGACACAGCUACGGCCCACCAGGAGCAAUGCGAUGCGACAACGCCACAGCCCUGCUGCUGAGGGAUGCAAUUCGUUACGGUCUGAGGGCUCAUCUUCCAUGGAACUUUGCAGAACAAGCCAAAAUCUGUGUCCAAGUGUGAAUCAAUCUUGAUGCAGGAUGAAUGACGACCGCUGCAGAGAGGAUUUCAGAGGACAGCAGCACGCUGCGUUGUGCGUUGAGGGGAUGGGCUGAGGGUGCGCUGGGGAGGGUCAGGUUGGAGCUGGAGAACAA